GAUGAACGCUGGCGGCGUGCCUAAUACAUGCAAGUCGAGCGAACAGACGAGGAGCUUGCUCCUCUGACGUUAGCGGCGGACGGGUGAGUAACACGUGGAUAACCUACCUAUAAGACUGGGAUAACUUCGGGAAACCGGAGCUAAUACCGGAUAAUAUAUUGAACCGCAUGGUUCAAUAGUGAAAGACGGUUUUGCUGUCACUUAUAGAUGGAUCCGCGCCGCAUUAGCUAGUUGGUAAGGUAACGGCUUACCAAGGCAACGAUGCGUAGCCGGCCUGAGAGGGUGAUCGGCCACACUGGAACUGAGACACGGUCCAGACCCCUACGGGAGGCAGCAGUAGGGAAUCUUCCGCAAUGGGCGAAAGCCUGACGGAGCAACGCCGCGUGAGUGAUGAAGGUCUUCGGAUCGUAAAACUCUGUUAUUAGGGAAGAACAAAUGUGUAAGUAACUAUGCACGUCUUGACGGUACCUAAUCAGAAAGCCACGGCUAACUACGUG
Molecule: ribosomal RNA, 497 nt
Filed under: uncultured bacterium
Lineage: Bacteria
Description: partial 16S ribosomal RNA
Rfam family: Bacterial small subunit ribosomal RNA
Source: RNAcentral